Molecule: long non-coding RNA, 439 nt
Organism: Hemicordylus capensis (graceful crag lizard)
Lineage: Eukaryota; Metazoa; Chordata; Lepidosauria; Squamata; Cordylidae
Exons: 3
Source: RefSeq, a predicted model, not a curated record
AGGAAACAGGAUUUUACUCUGGUGUAACACACAUCUCAAGUUUGAUUGCUCAGCAACUCUACCAAGUACUCUCACCACAUCUGAGGGAAAAACAGGACCAUGGUACAUAAACAUGAGGAUAAGACCUACUUUCAUCUCUGCUCUAGGAUCACUUCUGUAAGGAUCUACAAGCAAGCUUGCAUCUGCACUGUCCCUCUGCAGCAGAAGACGUGGUACUGUAAAACACUGGCUUACAGGACUGUGGCCAAGGGCAGGAAGACUUCUGCUUGUGUCUGUGUGUACAGAUAUUGCCAUGUGCACCUCUGGGGGUGCUGAAUUGUACGAGACAUGUAUAAAACUUGUUUGCUAUGAAGUAAAAGCAGUAAGACUGCUGAUCUCUGUUGGAAAUCAAACUGAUUGAUUCUGUGAUUUGGUCUAAAUAUAAACUAUUGCAUUUUAA